This 430-nucleotide ribosomal RNA is filed under the name uncultured bacterium. RNAcentral describes it as "partial 16S ribosomal RNA". It matches the Rfam family "Bacterial small subunit ribosomal RNA", at positions 29 to 506 of the family's 1533-position model. The record is from RNAcentral.
AACGAACGCUGGCGGCAGGCUUAACACAUGCAAGUCGAACGCCCCGCAAGGGGAGUGGCAGACGGGUGAGUAACGCGUGGGAACAUACCCUUUUCUACGGAAUAGCUCUGGGAAACUGGAAUUAAUACCGUAUACGCCCUACGGGGGAAAGAUUUAUCGGGGAAGGAUUGGCCCGCGUUGGAUUAGCUAGUUGGUGGGGUAAAGGCCUACCAAGGCGACGAUCCAUAGCUGGUCUGAGAGGAUGAUCAGCCACAUUGGGACUGAGACACGGCCCAAACUCCUACGGGAGGCAGCAGUGGGGAAUAUUGGACAAUGGGCGCAAGCCUGAUCCAGCCAUGCCGCGUGAGUGAUGAAGGCCUUAGGGUUGUAAAGCUCUUUCACUGAUGAAGAUAAUGACGGUAGUCGGAGAAGAAGCCCCGGCUAACUUCGU